Molecule: unclassified non-coding RNA, 294 nt
Filed under: Hevea brasiliensis (rubber tree)
Lineage: Eukaryota; Viridiplantae; Streptophyta; Magnoliopsida; Malpighiales; Euphorbiaceae
Source: RNAcentral
CUCCUGAAGAUUUUUUAAGUUAAGUAACCAAUAAAUCUUCAGGAGAGAAAUUCCAAAGUUAGUUCCGAUGUUGAAUUUUUUUUCUGCCACUCAUCAGAAAUCCUACAGAAGGAAAAUUCCAGGAGUAGAUAGGCUCUCAACAAUUCAAUGACUUAAAAGAAAAAGCACUUAGCAUUAUUAUUUUUAUCAAUUUCAUAAUUCAGAAAAGAAAAACCACUUAGCAAUAUUAUUUUAAUCCAUUUCAUAUUCAGCUUUAUAAUAUUUAUUGUAAUUCAUAAAAUUAUAAAUAUAAAU